Long non-coding RNA from Dendrobium catenatum, 936 nucleotides. RefSeq lists it as uncharacterized. The record is from RefSeq and is a predicted model, not a curated record. Lineage: Eukaryota; Viridiplantae; Streptophyta; Magnoliopsida; Asparagales; Orchidaceae. The transcript is spliced from 3 exons.
CAGCCGUUGCCCAGCCAGGUGUUGCCAUUGGCCACGGAGAGAACGACAGAUUACAAGAGAAGAAUAGAAGGAUACCAAGAGAGCGAUUCAAAGCAGAGUUCGACCAACGCUGGAGGAACCGGGCUUCGUACGGUUCCGAUCAUUGGAGGGUUUAACCUAGCCUUCUAUGACACUCGCGGUAGCGAGCUCUACAUCAACCUCUUCUCGGGUCGCCAGAACUUCAUGCAUUGACUCCAUUUUGUUUGGUUGAAAGAUGUUUUCGUGGGUAAUUUAUUGCGGAAUAACGAUCAAUAAGUGAGGCCUUUUGAUGAGUGUACGUGAAAGGGAUAAAAGAUUGGUAAAGAAGUCGGACCGAUGGAUCCACGAAAUUUGUUUGAUAUUCGUUUUGGGGUAGCAGACAGGUCGAUUGGUAUACGGGGUGGGUAGGAACAGCCAUAAUUGGUGUGUGGGGUAUUGAUUUGGAGAGGUACAGACAGAGAUAUCAAUGGAUUCUGGUUGUUGAUAAUUUAAAUGGUGGACAGUAGUGUGGUGAAUGGCGGGUCCUAUUUUGUUGAUGGUGUGAUUUGGUGAUGAAAUUCCAUGGAGGCAUUUACUCACUGGCAAACAUAAAUGGUUUGGGUGGCUUGCUUGUUUCAUGCAGCCAUUUAAGGAAGCUGUGAAAAUGGAUUUAUCUAAUAUCCCAAAAGGUGCAGUAAGUACGACUGCAAAACCCUGUUGACAAAACUACCUAGCUGUUGAAAGAACAAUUAUGUGGAAAUAUGGUAAAGUAAUUCAAGACUUGGUACUAAGGCUUGAGAAAUGUAGAGACUGGUGAAGCUUGAACUGCAGCUGAUUUGGGUCCACAUCCAAUGCUCCAGUUUUUGGCCAGGACUUCACGGUGGAGGCUUAGGAGUUUCGGGUCGGGUUUGGAUCAAACCGAUACUCACCCGAUUUGAC